Long non-coding RNA from Myotis daubentonii (Daubenton's bat), 629 nucleotides. RefSeq lists it as uncharacterized. The transcript has 2 exons. Lineage: Eukaryota; Metazoa; Chordata; Mammalia; Chiroptera; Vespertilionidae. The record is from RefSeq and is a predicted model, not a curated record.
GAAUUGGAGCUCUCCCCGCCUCCGCCCCGCGUGUGCCGCCUCGCCGUGUCCAGUGGCAACCGGGCGCGUCCGUCCUCUCCCCGGGACAGACCCUCUGUCGGAAGAAAUCCAUGUCGCCCCCAGCAUCUCCAGAAGGCUGCUUCCAUCUUAACCAAAAGUUCAAGGCUACGUUCGGGAGGAGACAGCUGAGCACAGGGAGCCACUCACUGCACACAGAGGGAAGCCCAUCAGGGGACCAACAAGUCCCACUCACAUCUCCUUGGACAGAGGUGAAGGCUGAGGCUAGAGAGAGCCUGAGAGUGGGUGGGGGGCAAAAUCUGAACUCAGUGGCAUCUUCGAGUCUAUAGGCCUUAGAGCCGGCCUUAGCAGCAGGCACGUGGAAGGGACAGUGUGCGGAACAGUUAGGGCAGUGCCAGAGCUGCCCCCUACCAAGAGCUCUGAGCAGGUGGGGGGGGGGGGGGGGGGUCACUGCCCAGCGGGUCCUAGCUGGUACCCAGGCAGCACAGGCAAGAGAAACGGCAGCAAAGAGAGUGCUUGGCCCACGUUAUCAUUUCUUUUUGGUUUAAUGUCCUAGUUAAAAACUCCUUAUGCAUUCUAAGAUCAUUAAAAGUCUCUGUUUUCUUCUAGAA